GCGUCAAAGCAUACCUUCUACUAAUACAAAACAUAAACACCACCUCCUGAGCCCCAACUGAGCAACUCUAUUCUUUAAUAGAAGAACUAAUGCUAAAACUAGUAAUAAGAGCCAGCUCUCCUUUUCACACCCAUCAAUCAGAAAUAGAUAAGCUACUGAAUAUUAAUCAAGCUUUCGAAAAAGUAAAUGACCCCCCCCCAAGAAAAACUCUAAACAUGUUUGUGACACCAACACAGGAGUGAAAAUAGGACAGAUUAAAAGCCCAACAAGGAACUCAGCUAAUAGAUUCCAACUGUUUACCAAAAACAUAGCCUUUAGCACUAUAAGUAUUAAAGGUCUCGCCUGCCCAGUGACUAUUUUAACGGCCGCGGUAUCCUAACCGUGCAAAGGUAGCGUAAUCAUUUGUCUCCUAAAUAGAGACUCGUAUGAACGGCUAACUGAGAAUCUAACUGUCUCCUAAAGCCAAUCAAUGAAACUGAUCUUUCAGUACAAAAGCUGAAAUAAACACAUAAGACGAGAAGACCCUGUGGAGCUUCAAAAAAACACUAUUUCCCCUACAAUAAACCCCACGGGCUAAAACCCAUAAGAUAAUAGUAAUUCUUUUUAGUUGGGGCGACUUUGGAAUAAAAAAAAACUUCCAUGUAAGGUUCCCCCCUAUCAAGGCUAACCAGCCAAAGUAUCUCUCUUUUUGACCCAGACACCUGAUCAAC
Molecule: ribosomal RNA, 710 nt
Filed under: Pygopus nigriceps
Lineage: Eukaryota; Metazoa; Chordata; Lepidosauria; Squamata; Pygopodidae
Description: partial 16S ribosomal RNA
Rfam family: Archaeal large subunit ribosomal RNA (bases 279-448)
Source: RNAcentral